UACGUAGGUGGCAAGCGUUGUCCGGAUUUAUUGGGUUUAAAGGGUGCGUAGGCGGCCUUGUAAGUCAGUGCUGAAAUAUCCCGGCUUAACCGGGAGGGCGGCAUUGAUACUGCAGGGCUUGAGUAAAGUUGAGGUUGGCGGAAUUGACGGUGUAGCGGUGAAAUGCUUAGAUAUCGUCAAGAACACCGAUAGUGAAGACAGCUAACUAAGCUUUAACUGACGCUGAGGCACGAAGGUGUGGGGAUCAAACAGG
Molecule: ribosomal RNA, 253 nt
Filed under: uncultured bacterium
Lineage: Bacteria
Description: partial 16S ribosomal RNA
Rfam family: Bacterial small subunit ribosomal RNA
Source: RNAcentral